This 73-nucleotide transfer RNA is filed under the name Stegodyphus dumicola. Its description in RNAcentral is "tRNA-Leu". It matches the Rfam family "tRNA". From Rfam's summary of the family: Transfer RNA (tRNA) molecules are approximately 80 nucleotides in length. Their secondary structure includes four short double-helical elements and three loops (D, anti-codon, and T loops). Further hydrogen bonds mediate the characteristic L-shaped molecular structure. tRNAs have two regions of fundamental functional importance: the anti-codon, which is responsible for specific mRNA codon recognition, and the 3' end, to which the tRNAs corresponding amino acid is attached (by aminoacyl-tRNA synthetases). tRNAs cope with the degeneracy of the genetic code in two manners: having more than one tRNA (with a specific anti-codon) for a particular amino acid; and 'wobble' base-pairing, i.e. permitting non-standard base-pairing at the 3rd anti-codon position. Lineage: Eukaryota; Metazoa; Arthropoda; Arachnida; Araneae; Eresidae. The record is from RNAcentral.
GUCUUCGUAGUGUAGUGGUCAGCACGUUCGACCCAAAUUCGAGAGGUCUGUGGUUCGAAUCCCGGCGAGGGCA